Long non-coding RNA from Gadus morhua (Atlantic cod), 1715 nucleotides. RefSeq lists it as uncharacterized. NCBI's taxonomy places the organism in Eukaryota, Metazoa, Chordata, Actinopteri, Gadiformes, Gadidae. The record is from RefSeq and is a predicted model, not a curated record. The transcript has 3 exons.
GACAGUGACGUCAGGGGGGCGCCCGGUGUCGGUACCAGAUGACCGUUGUCGGCAUAGAUAUAUAUAGAACACAGUGAAUAUAGAAUAUAUUAUGUAUAUAAUAUAAAAUAUAUAUAGAACAAUGUUCUAUAUAUAUCUAUGGUUGUGGGUACCAGAUUGAUUCGGCUGCCAGAUCGACUCGGGGUCCUGGAUUCACAAUAAUAACGCACAUUCUGUAAACGCUGUCUUUUAAAUGCGCAUGCGCGUUUCAUUCAUUAUUUUCCAUGGUUAUUCCGCUCUAUAGAAAUGGAAGCGUUUUUUACCGAAGUAAAGCAUUAACUGAAGCUAAACCAACAGCCUAAUCACCGCCCUAAUCUCAGAAGGCAGGACAUUGGACAAGUUCAUGGCAUCCUACCACUGGUCAACCUUGCGAGAGGAUGAGAACAAAUCGUUGAGUUUUGGUACUUUUUGAAAGGUUGAUGAAUGUCCCCGCUGUCAGCAUCAUGAGGUGAUGAAGACUGUGGCACCUGUCCUUCAUCCAAUUGAUGCCAGCAAGGCAUGAAGUGACCUUGGGGUUGACCUAAUUGGUCCCCUUCCCACUACCGCAUAGGGCAAAAGUUAGCUUUUAUACAUGGCUGAUGUAUGUGUAACCACAUUUAAAGAUAGUCAAUGCAAAAUAUUUGGUUUAAAGGAAAACUAGUGACAGGGAUGGAUGUCUACGAUUAUUACUACAUUUACAACAUUUUAUGUUGCAGAUUUAUUCUGACAGCAACAGACCUUUUCACAAAGUGAGUUUUGGCAAAACCCCUGUGCACCAAAACAGCUGUUGAGGUGUCCAGAAAAAUUGUGAACAUUCUCCUCGACUUCGGUCUGGUCGACAGAAUUAUAACCGAAUAGGCCUGUCACACUUCCUGCUUCCGGAACACGUAGUAGGGUAAUCCAACUUCCGGUCGCGUCUAGCAGCAACAACAAUGGCAGCCCCCGUUCGCAGUUGUUCUUGUAGUGUACCGUGUUGCUCUACAUCAGGACGUAGACAGCCAUACCUCAGCUUCCACGCUUUCCUGAAGGACGAAAUAAAUCUUGGGUGAGAUUAAUUUUUGCCCAGUACUGUCCUUACGUGCGAGUGAUUCUAGACUGCACAGAAAUCAGGUGUGAGGCACUCUAAUCACUCACCCUCCAGUCUGAAACAUUCUCCCACUACAAGAAUACCAACACCUUCAAAGGUCUGAUUGGCAUUGCUCCAUGUGGAGUUAUCACCUUCAUUUCUAAGCUGUACACUGGUUCCAUAUCAGACAGAGAAAUCACACAGCAGUCAGGAAUCCUGAGUCUACUUCAGCCAGGAGAUGCAUCCAUGGCUGACAAAGGCUUUGUCAUCAAGAUGCUUUCUGAAGUUGGGGCUACCCUCAUAAUGCCGCCAUUUAAAAGAGGCGCCAGGUUCACCAGAGGACACCGAAAAAACCCAGAGUAUCGCCCGACUUAGAAUCUUGGUGGAGAGGGCCAUCAGAAGGGUCAAAGAAUAUCAUAUCUGGGACACGACCAUUCCUCUGACUCUUUCAGGCUCUGUCAAUCAGCUGUGGGUAAAUUGUUGCUUGAUUUUUAACCAUCAAGGUCCUUUAGAUGUGAAGGGCGAUGUCCCAGUGUUACACAUUAAAACACAUGACAUCACAUGACUAUUUUCAAACGUUUAAUGUUCUGUUUAUAUUUAACAGAAAGAAAUUAAAAUGAAAUUGUGUGUG